Molecule: ribosomal RNA, 587 nt
Filed under: uncultured bacterium
Lineage: Bacteria
Description: bacterial SSU rRNA
Rfam family: Bacterial small subunit ribosomal RNA
Source: RNAcentral
CCUACGGGAGGCAGCAGUAGGGAAUCUUCCACAAUGGGCGAAAGCCUGAUGGAGCAACGCCGCGUGAGUGAUGAAGGCCUUCGGGUUGUAAAACUCUGUCAUUCGGGACGAACCGGAGUCUGAGGAAAUGCAGACUCUCUGACGGUACCGGAGGAGGAAGCCCCGGCUAACUACGUGCCAGCAGCCGCGGUAAUACGUAGGGGGCAAGCGUUGUCCGGAUUCACUGGGCGUAAAGCGCGCGCAGGCGGUGAUGUAAGUCUGAGGUGAAAACCCGAAGCUCAACUUCGGGACUGCCUUGGAUACUGCGUCACUUGAGGAUAGGAGAGGCAAGGGGAAUUCCACGUGUAGCGGUGAAAUGCGUAGAGAUGUGGAGGAACACCUGUGGCGAAGGCGCCUUGCUGGCCUAUUUCUGACGCUGAGGCGCGAAAGCGUGGGGAGCAAACAGGAUUAGAUACCCUGGUAGUCCACGCUGUAAACGAUGAGUGCUAGGUGUAGGUGGGCUCAUACCCAUCUGUGCCGAAGCUAACGCAUUAAGCACUCCGCCUGGGGAGUACGGUCGCAAGACUGAAACUUAAAUGAAUUGACGG